GGGGUGGAGAUGUUGACCGUUUACAAGUUUUCAGACAAGAGGGGGUGGGGUGAACCCCUUGGGACUUCCCUUCUAUAUCAUUUCAUUUGUUUUAUUGUCCCCUACAAGAAUAUAUAUGGUUUAGGGGUGGGGAUCUGGACCGUUUACAAGAUAAUAGCACAUUCUCAUAUCGAACACGGUGGGGGCGACCCCCAGGAACUUCCCUUUAAUUUCAUUUGAUUAGCCUUAUUGUCCCAUACAAGAAUAUAUAUGGUUUACGAGUGGUGAUGUUGACCGUUUACAAGUUUUCAAACAAGAGGGGGCGGGGUAACCCCCUAGGGACUUCCCUUUUAUUUCAUUUUAUUUGUAUUAUUGUCCCCUACAAGAAUAUAUAUGGUUUAGGGGUGGGGAUGUUGACCGUAUACAAGUUUACAAACAAGACGGGGUGGGGUGACCCCCUCGGGACUUCCCUUUUAUUUCAUUUCAUUUGUUUUAUUGUCCCCUACAAGAAUAUAUAUGGUUUAGGGGUGGGGAUCUGGACCGUUUACAAGAUAAUAGUACAUUCUCAAAUUGAUCAGGGUGGGGAUGACCCCCGGGGACUUCCCUUUAAUUUUAUUUGAUUUGUUUUAUCGUCCCCUUCAAGAAUAUAUAUGGUUUAGGGGUGGGGAUCUGGACUGUUUACAAGAUAAAAGCAUAUUCUCAAAUUGAAGGGGGUGGGGAUGACCCCCCAGGGACUCCCCCUAUAUUUCAUGUGAUUUGUUUUAUUGUCCUAUAAUCAUUUCUGCAGACUGCAUGUAUCUAUCACUUACAGUUUUCAAGUUAUAUUCAUUUGAAAAUUUUAGAAAAUAAAAUCCCAUAGGGUUCUAUAGUAAACCCCUCCCUUCUUUCUGCCCCCCCCCCCCCAAAAUACCCCUUAAUAGACCCCAAUGCACAAACGAAAGAUUGAUGGCUCACCUAGACAUAUUAGUCUAACAUUCUAUGAAACCC
This 966-nucleotide long non-coding RNA is filed under the name Mytilus galloprovincialis (Mediterranean mussel). The record is from RNAcentral. Lineage: Eukaryota; Metazoa; Mollusca; Bivalvia; Mytilida; Mytilidae.